GCCGGAGUGGUGGAACUGGUAGACGCAGUGGACUCAAAAUCCACCGGGGGCAACUCCAUGUGAGUUCGAUUCUCACCUCCGGCACCA
Molecule: transfer RNA, 87 nt
Filed under: Desulfovibrionaceae bacterium
Lineage: Bacteria; Pseudomonadati; Thermodesulfobacteriota; Desulfovibrionia; Desulfovibrionales; Desulfovibrionaceae
Description: tRNA-Leu
Rfam family: tRNA
About the family: Transfer RNA (tRNA) molecules are approximately 80 nucleotides in length. Their secondary structure includes four short double-helical elements and three loops (D, anti-codon, and T loops).
Source: RNAcentral